GAUGAAGAACGUAGCGAAAUGCGAUAAGUAAUGUGAAUUGCAGAAUUCAGUGAAUCAUCGAAUCUUUGAACGCACCUUGCGCCCUUUGGCCAUUCCGAAGGGCAUGCCUGUUUGAGUAUCAUGAACACCUCAACUCUUCAUGGUUUUCCGUGAUGAGCUUGGACUUUGGGGGUCUUGCUGGCCUAUGGUCAGCUCCUCUAAAAUAAAUCAGCUUGCCAGUGUUUGGUGGGUAUCACAGGUGUGAUAACUAUCUACGCUUGUGGUUUUCCACCAGGUAACCUUCAGCAGUGGAGGUUCGCUGGAGCUCACAGAUGUGUCCCUCCUCAGUGAGGACAGCUCUUUGAAUGUUUGAUCUCAAAUCAGGUAGGACUACCCGCUGAACUUAAGCAUAUCAAUAAGCGGAGGA
RNAcentral lists this unclassified non-coding RNA (406 nucleotides) under soil metagenome. RNAcentral's name for it is "partial contains 5.8S ribosomal RNA, internal transcribed spacer 2, and large subunit ribosomal RNA". The stretch from base 1 to 121 matches the Rfam family "5.8S ribosomal RNA", at positions 35 to 154 of the family's 154-position model. The record is from RNAcentral.